This 366-nucleotide ribosomal RNA is filed under the name uncultured organism. RNAcentral describes it as "partial 16S ribosomal RNA". It matches the Rfam family "Bacterial small subunit ribosomal RNA", at positions 527 to 896 of the family's 1533-position model. The record is from RNAcentral.
GUAGGUGGCAAGCGUUGUCCGGAUUUAUUGGGCGUAAAGAGUAUGUAGGCGGUUUAACAAGUCAGAUGUGAAAGCCCUCGGCUCAACCGAGGAAGGUCAUUUGAAACUGUUAGACUUGAGUGAAGUAGAGGUAAGUGGAAUUUCAUGUGUAGCGGUAAAAUGCGUAGAUAUAUGAAGGAACACCAGUGGCGAAGGCGACUUACUGGACUUACACUGACGCUGAGAUACGAAAGCGUGGGGAGCAAAUAGGAUUAGAUACCCUAGUAGUCCACGCCGUAAACGAUGAGUGCUAAGUGUUGGGGUUAAACCCCAGUGCUGAAGCUAACGCAUUAAGCACUCCGCCUGAGGAGUACGAUCGCAAGGUUG